RNAcentral lists this long non-coding RNA (7664 nucleotides) under Podarcis lilfordi (Lilford's wall lizard). Lineage: Eukaryota; Metazoa; Chordata; Lepidosauria; Squamata; Lacertidae. The record is from RNAcentral.
GGUAUGAUAAAAGCAGCAAAGAAAACUGCUUUGAAAGAAUCCCUUUGAAGCAGAAAUCAAAACAUGGAUACUUCCAGAAAUUAAUUAUGAAUAUUUGGGUACUAAUGUGGCAACAGUAUUCAUACAGAAGAUAAUCCAUUCACAUGAAGAAGGGUGAACAGAAUACGGUUCUUUCCCUCCUCCCCCGUCUGAACAUGAUCAAAGCCUUCCUGUGGGUUUGCCAAGUCAGUGGAAGCAGAUGACAGUCAAUAAUGGAAAGAGGAGGUGGCAUUUUUAAAUACAGUGGCUGCACAUGAAAAGUGUGAUGAACAGACAAAAGUGGUUUGCAUUUAUAUCACAUGAGCUGCAAAAACUUGAUGCAACCCUGUGAAUAACUUCAAUAAUAUAAAGUUUCUAGAAUGAACUCUAAUGUAUACUGUGGGGUCCUACCUAUGUUCACUCAUCCCCCAUUAAAAUGCGAGGAGGCUGCAUUGUCACUCAGCCACCAGGUACGCUUCCCAAGGCAAUCUCUAGUUUCCUAGACAAAGGGGCUGAAGGAAGCAAAGUGAAAGGCUCACUCUUUUGGGCUCCACUCCCUCUGAUCACCUCCAUCGUUCCUGUAAUAACACUGGGGUGGUGGUGGAGUCCCCUAUUUCCCAAUGAGAGCAGCACCCAGUGUCAGAAGAGGAAACAAAUGUCAUGUAUUUCUUUUGGUUUUGCUACCGCUUAACUUAUUGUGAUAUUAACACUUUGAAAUAGGGAGUUGGAUGCUGGAAGGGCCCAAAGGAGUGCAAAAGUGUCAGACUUUCCAAGUGUCGCUAUUUUCCUUAGAUGUCCCUGAUUUAUAGAAGCUCUCCCAGUUUCUGAUUUGAUCCCAGAAUAUCCUGCUUUUCCUUUGGAUGUCCCUAUUUUCAUUGGAGAAAUGUUGGAGGGUAUGGAGUUAUCCAACCCCCCAAGCUGUCUGAAGGCAAUCCUGUAUAGGGAAGGAUUUUUUUUAAUGUUUAAUGUUUUUAUAUAUGUUGGAAGCUGCCCAGAGUGGCUAGGGUAUACAGUAAAAUGGUCAUCAUGGAAUGGGACGUCCCUAUUUUCAUCGGAGAAAUGUUGGCGGGUAUGAAGUGUCAUCCUCUGCUGUUGCUAGGUGCUUCUCUAAUAAGGAAAUGGGAGAUCAACCCAGUAGUUUCUGCUUCAUCUUAGGGGCCUCUGGGACCAUUUCCCAUUUUUCAACAAGAGCAAUGUCCCACUGUCCUAGUCCCACUGCCUUUUCCAGACAUUUGGGGGCUGUGCAGAGCUGGCUGGUUUCUGUGGGGGAGCAGAAACAGGCUAACUCCUCUCACUCUAUUCAGCGAUGGACAUUGACAGAUACCUAGAAAUGCCAAACACUAAUGCCAGGCCCAAGGUACACAGGCAUGACAUGAAUCAAAAGAGUGAUAAUGACCAUGCUCAGAUCAAACUCUGACCUGGUAGGGUGAAAUGACGGGCAGAGCUAAAGGACAGACAUUUUAAUGGCUCAUUUACCUAUGCCGGAGUCGCCGGAGUGGUGCCUGCAUUCUGAGCUGUUCCCACCGGUGCCUCCUAUAGCACCCAUGAAAGGGCUCAGUAAAUGCUCCCUCCAAAAUCCAUAGCACAUGAAUGACUGUUUGCUCUUCCUGAUCAGCUCCUGCUAGCACUGGCUCCGUCUGUCUGAUAUCAGACACAUACCCUUAAACAUACCCACCACCUUUUAUGGAUGCCAGGAUGGGCAUUUUCAUCCCUAGAAUGUUUGUGCCAUGUGAAGAAGCCUAGAGCUUUAAUUCUUCACUGCACCAGGGCUCUGCAGUGGAAGAGCCAAGGGGAGUGAAGUGGAAAGGUGGACAUCUAGCAGGCAGGUGGCUCUCAAUUUGCAUUGAAGCCAACCAAUUGCAGGAGAGAUCUUAAAAAGCUUUUCCACAGCACUGACAGUAAUGUAAGAAUGUCUUCGUUGCCAUUGCAAUGGGGAAGUGUCAUCUGUCAGAACUGUUCUGUGUGGUGAAUACCCAGCAAAUUCUGGCUGCUUUCUCCUUCUAGCUAAGUUGUCAUCUGCCUACUUUAACAAUUUUCCGUGUGUACUGAUCUUGCAGACAGAAUUGCUUGUAUAUUUUUCUUGACGCUUGAGCUGCGAUUUGAUUAGAGAAUUAACAGUAACUCCAACCCAGCACCAGGAGGAUGCUGUCCUCCGACUUUCCUCUAAUGGAGAGGAAAGGAGAAGCAGACUUGCUGCAGGGAAUAGCUGACUCACUUAAAAAAACAGAAAAACAGGGAAAGAUGUAUGAUCUAGUGCUGCAGAGGGGAAAUAUGCAGCCUUCAAAAAAUUAACAGAAAUAAGAAUGAAUAUUACAACAGCAAAAUGUUCGCAAAAUGGCAGGAGGAAUGGGAAAAGCUUAGCUUAGUUUAAAAUUACUUUAACAAAGCUUACAAUGUGGUAGGAAUCAGGAAUUUUAAGCCACAUUCACUAUCACAAAUAUACAAGUGUUGUAAAAGUGUAGUCUCUAAAAAAUGGAAGAACCUCCCUGAGAAAAGGAACAUGAAUUCUGUGCAACGGGUGAGUCAGAACUGCACAUUUAAUGUGUAAAACACAGCCUUCUAUCUGGGCUUAGUUUCAAGAAGUAUCGCCCACAAAUUUGGUGUGUGUGGAUGGAUUGGUAGUAGCGCAGGAAUGAGUAUGUUACAAGUUUGACUGCAUUUUGCCAGGUCAAAGCCACAUGGUAGAACUUGGUUCUUCCUCUGUUUAAGCACUGAUAUUUCCUCGAUGGGAUGUACUCAAGCAUGGCGCUUGUCAACUAUCUUGAUAUAUUUUGCAAGUUCUUUUCUUAAUCUCCUCUAUUAUUUAUAAAUUUCAUUUCAUUUAUGAAUUGCUUCCCAUGUGGCAUCCUGAAGCGAUUUACAAUAUAAGCACAUAUAUAAAAGUGUUGCACACAUAAAAAAAAACAGUUAACACAAUUGUAUAUAUGCAAACAAUCAAAAUUAUAAAUAAAAAACAGUUUAAAACAACAAUAACACAUGUAUAAAAUCAUGUAAAUCCAUGACAGAUACCAACUGGGAUUAAGAUUUUAGAAGGCUUGUUGAAAGAGUAAUUUCCUUAGCAGGUGCUAAAAAAAUAAUAGAGAAGGUGCUUGUCUGUUGUGCAAAGGGAAGGCGCUCCAAAGGAAAGAGCCCAAUUCUGACAUCAUGCAGAACAGACCUUUCGGUAGGAUGGUCUCUGCAGGAUGCCCUUUCCUGCAGAAUGCCAUGUUUGACUGUCUAUAGGGGAUGCAGCCCCUUAGGUAUCCCGGUCCCAAGCUGUAUAGGGCUUUGUAUACCAAAACUAGCCCCUUGAACCUUACCCAGUAGCUAAUUGACAGCCAAUACAAAUCUUGGAGCAGUGGGGUCAGAGGAUGCUGAUAUUCUGCUCCAGUGAGCAAUGGAGCUCCCCACUUUACCCUAGUUGCAGCUUCCAAGUCAACCUCAAACGGCAGCCCCACACAAAGCACAUUGCAGCAAUCCAACCUAGAGCUCAAGUUGCCUGCGGGUGGAGCUUAACAGGAUCCCAGCAGCCUUUGCUUCCCACCCCCUUUCCUUUUCUCUCUGCUUCCUAGAACAAGCUGCAGCAAGACUCUCAUCUGCAGGAAAAGCCAAAUGAACUGGAUCUCUCCAAAAAUAGAUUUUCAUAGCCUGAUUUUGCUAACCCAAAGAUUGCAUGAUCUUUUUUGCAAGGAAACCAAGUCCUUUCUUUUGAAGCAUUUGGAAUCAUUUUAUCUUUGUUUUACUGCCAACAGAUGGAGACUUGUCUGCUGUAACUCCUGAAACUCUAUGAGUAAAAUCUUCACUUAUUUGCAAUACUAGGUGCUGGCGAUUUAUUCUAGCCUAAGUAUUUUUGUGGAGAAUGUUUGUUUAAAGGUGGAUGAGGGCAGAUGUAAAUCUAACCAAGUUUUAAUGUGCUUGGUAGCACUUGUCAUUGUGCUUAAUUCUGCUAUAAGAGAGUAAAGAAUCUCUCUUCCAAACCUCUCUCUCCAACAGCAUCAGGGACAGGAUGCUACCCCAGAGACCCCACAGCACAACUGCCAGGGGGCCAAGAGAUAACCACCCAACACUAUUAUUUGAAACCAACUCUGGAGACAGGACUUUAGUCACUACAAAACAGUGUCCCCAAUACCCGUCUUACACUGUUGGUUUGGGAGGCUACCCUAGUCCACUGGCGAAGCGCAUCUUCCCAGUGUCUGAGGUGGGCUUGUCCAGUUGUGCUGGGGGCGGGGCGGGGCACAGAGGGCAAUGUGAGGAGGGUCAGCAGGGUAGGCAAGCACCCUUCCAAUCCGCCCAAUCCAACUGAUGGGAAGGGCACAUGCCUAUUGCAUCCUCCUGAUGCCCUGGCAGCCCCACGCUGGCAAAGCAGCGCGGGGCUGGCAGGGGUGGUGUGAGGAGCAAAACGUGCCCUGGGAAAAACUGUGCCUGGGGCAACGGUCCCCUUCGCCCCUCCCAUGCUGUGCCUUUGCCUUGGUCAAUGGUAUCAAAAACCUCUGAAAGACCAAGUAAGAAUUGCAGGGUCAUAUUCUUCCUGUCCUCUCUACGAAGGCCAUCUAUCUGGGUGACCAAGGCCAAUUCAUUUCCAUGACCAGGCUUGAAUCCCUGUUGGAACGGGUCCAGAGAACUGGUUUCAUUGCAGCUGUUGCACCACAACCCUUCCAAUCCCAUGUCCUGGAAAUGGGGUAUUUGCGAGCCGGCAGUAGCAGCCACAAAGCCCUGGGUCCAGGGUUGGUUUUUUCAGGAGUGGUCAGAUCACCACCUCUUACAUAUCAUCUCUGUGUAUAUGAUGUCGUUGGACAAGAUCAGGAGGAACCUGGAAUUUGGGGCUGUUGUUAUACUGAUGGCACCUAUCUCUGCGCUCCAUUUCCUGUAGCCCCUGUCAUGCACUCUAUUUGUUCAGUGCCUGCUAUUGUUGAGGGAUGUGAGGCUAGAAAGCACAGGCAGCCUGGAAAAAGAGGAAGAGAAAAUGCAUAAGCCUUUCCUUAGCCUCCUGCUGGGUUAGGUGUUCUGAGGGCUCCUUGUGGGGAGCACUGUUGUCCAAAUUGGUCCUGACUGUGAUUGACAGGAUUCUGAGCUUUCGUGAUAACAACCGCAGUGACAUCCUCAAGUUGCAAUUUUGGAAAAAAAAGGCAUGCCGCUUCCAAUUCUUGUUACACAGGAUUUCUUCCCUCACUCCUCUUCAUAGCUUGGAAUGUUUGCCUUCUAUAGCCCUUGCACCCAGAUUUGCAAGGCAUGCAAAGACAGAAAAGAUUGGUUAGUUUGUGAGGAAGAAGGCUGUCAGAGCUUCAUGCUACAUCUGGUGCCUGCUGGGGUAGAGAUUUGUUACAAUUUGCAUGGAAAGGUCACAAGGGAGGAUGACAACUUCCCUUGUUUCACCUAACUUCCAACACUCCCAUUUUAUUUUUUAAAGGAAACACAUUGUAAGAGCUGCCUCACGAAUUCCUGGCAGGAAAUGUCAAUGCAUUCUGUAAAUUUUCAAAAAUGAUUAUUACACACUAGUGGUUUUUGAACAUCUAAAAUACCUACUUUAUACUGUGGCCAGGCCAGUCACAGGAUACGAUGUGCCUAUGCAGCCAAUCGCCUCUCGCAGCCCAAGCCCUGGUCUUUGAUUAUCUCUCUGCUUGCUAUAUGGAACUGACUAGGAUGCAGUUACAGUAUUGUGUAACAGAAGCAGCAGCUUUUAGAACUGCCUCUGUUCAAGGCCAGCCCUACCAUUCAGGCAGAGCGAGGCAGCUUCAGGUGGUGGAUGCUGAGUGGCAGGGAGUGGCAAGAGGGGCCACCUGGGCUAUCCUAUGCUCCCUAUGCUAGUCUGCUGCUCUCAGGUGCAGCGGAGGACCCUAGUAGAGGACCCUGUCGUGUCAACAGCACUGAAGUAAGAUUCAUCUGUCAGUGCACUCAGUUUCUGUAUGUGGAAUUUGGGGAGGGUUUUUUUCUAUCUUGCCCCUUGCUGCAAGCAGCAAAGUGUCUUGGAGCAGCCCUAGGCCUUUUAAGAAUAAAUACAUAGGAUGGAUUAUGUGCACGCCACCUUCGAGAGACCAUUCUUCCAACUGCUUUGCAAAGCUGUGCUGAAUGUGCAACAUCAGUGUGGGAUAAGCUCAUGCAUGGCAUCUGAAUGCAUCUGCAAAUACGGAUUUUAAGAUGCAAGACAUAUAAUAAGGUUCAUAUUGCUUCUGACCUUUGGCAAGGUCUUGGAAGUGUGUGAACAGUUAAUCACUGACCAUUCUGAAUAAUAAAGGUUAAGAUGUGGUAGCUAAUAGGUUUAAUUGAACAGAUGAGGGCUUGGAAGGGACAGUAAAAUAUUUAUCUCCAUUUGUAAAGGAAACAGAUUCUUGUCCAUUUUAAUCCAAAACACUAACCCGGUGAAUUCUGUGUUGAAUUAUUUUGUGCAAUCCCACUGAAAUCAAUGAGAUUAAGAUAGGGCAGUGAAAAAUCUUGGUGGAAUCCAGCACUCAGAGACGUGUGACACAAAAAAUACUGACGCACUUUAACUGCCUUCUGCACAAAGCACAUGUGAGCGUAUUGUGACUGGGCAGAGAAUUGUUUCCUUGGGCUUGCCUUAGCUGUAAUUAAAUUGAGGGAGGAGGGGAGAAGCCCUUUCAAGUGGAGAACAACAAUACAGCUCCUAGGGCAGAAAGUCAGCUAAUUCACUGACCUUGAUCUCACAUCCAUGUGCACUCCUGUCUCUGUGUGUUUCCAAUGUAGAUGGAGCAAUCCUCUGACUAAUUCUCCGUCUCUAUUGUGGGGCUUCUGCUGCUGCUGAGCUCAUGUUGUUGAUCUUGUUUUACAGCAGUCCUGCCUGUUGUGCAGAGAACAGAAUGUUCUCUUCUGUGAACUGAGGUUGAACUUAUCCAGCCCACUUUGUCUCAGGAACCACACACUUAUAGGGGAAAGAGAGGAGAGAGAUUGAUUUUGUUUUUAAUUUUAAAAAGUCAUAGGAUUUGGUUUCAUUUGAGCUAUUUAGGAUUUUGUUUCCUGUUUAUAUGAAAACACAAACACUUAAAAAUCUGAGCAAACAUGCUUUUAAAGGACAAACUGUUAAUGUAACCCUAGUUGCUUCACAGAAAUGGAAUAAGGAUUCUUGGAUUGUUUCUUUUUGGUAUCAAGGCAGAGCUGAGCAUUACAAAUUUGUUUUCCUUUCCUACAUUUCUCCUGUUAGAUGGCAUGCUUCCCUUCCAAAGCUGGGAUUUCAAACUAAACUCACAUUCAGGAGUAAACGGGUAGAGUGGGGAGCCUAGCCUCUGUUUAAGCCCUAUUGAGUGCAGUGACAGCAAAACUGGGAUACAGAGAUUCAGAACAUCAUCCUGCUUAUUUUGGGUUCAUCAAAACAAUGUAUGACUUUAAGAAGUGGUUUGCAGUGCAGGCGAUUUCUUUGGCUGGCUUAUCCAUAUUAUGAAAAAACAGUGUGCACUGCAGAAGAGCAAUGAUAUCAUCCGUUUGCUGCUCUAGCAAGUUGCUAGGGAAGCAUCAGAAUUUCACAGGAGCACUGGAGUCCAAAAGAUGCACCUCCGAAAGCUGGCAUAUUUUGCAUUAUAUUGUGACCAAAAGGAUACUUCAGUAUCACAUAUUAAAGAGUUUUUCAUUUUGAAUAAGAAACUUUAUUAUUAUGGUCAUUUUUCAUAAAGAAUGGUUAUUGACAUGUGCAUAUGAAAUGCAGUAAGAAUAAUGAAUGU